Molecule: long non-coding RNA, 643 nt
Organism: Pelmatolapia mariae (spotted tilapia)
Lineage: Eukaryota; Metazoa; Chordata; Actinopteri; Cichliformes; Cichlidae
Exons: 4
Source: RefSeq, a predicted model, not a curated record
CACAAAAGAAACAGUAUAUAAGCAGUGAUCUUACAGCUGUUCAGCACCUUCUCACUGGAAGGCUAAAGCUACGUGUUGGUGCUGAAAAGAAGUCUAUUCUUCAAAUAUUCUGCAUAUUCUCCAGAAGUGAUAUUAAACAUCGCCAUGAAGCUGCUGAUUGUGUUUGCACUUCUUUGUGUAAUGAUCCCUCUGAUCAUUUCUGCUGAGAAGAGAAGCUUGUGUGGCAGAUGUUGGUCUGUCUGCUGGGGUGGACGUCAGUCUGGUGGUACCAACAACAUGGGCGGAGGUCAGACUGGUUGUACCGUUAACGUGGACAAACAUCAGUUUAAUGGUACCAACAACAUGGUCGGAGGUCAGAUUGGUGGUAACUGGACCUGCGGCAGAUAGGGUUUUCUGGUGGAAUCAGCUGGCGAAGACGACAUGGGAAUCAGGUGUAUGAAUGAUAUAUGCUGCAUUAUUGACACCACUUUUAUCUGGGUCUGAAAAAGAAGAUGAUUCCUGGUCUUUCAUGGAAAGCAUGGUUCAUCGCACCAAGAAGCAAAUAAUUUCAUCCAACUCCCUGAACUAUCUUUUCAUCCUUUUACAUCUUUAAUUUCUUUCCUUUUGCGUCAUCAUCAUUAAACUCUUAAGCAUUAAAUCAAAA